RNAcentral lists this transfer RNA (66 nucleotides) under Neuroctenus yunnanensis. RNAcentral describes it as "tRNA-Leu". Lineage: Eukaryota; Metazoa; Arthropoda; Insecta; Hemiptera; Aradidae. The record is from RNAcentral.
GCUGUGUUGGCAGAAUUAGUGCAAUAAAUUUAGGAUUUAUUUAUGUGAAAUAUUUCACACUCAGUA